RNAcentral lists this ribosomal RNA (1322 nucleotides) under Staphylococcus aureus. Its description in RNAcentral is "bacterial SSU rRNA". It matches the Rfam family "Bacterial small subunit ribosomal RNA", at positions 221 to 1533 of the family's 1533-position model. The record is from RNAcentral. Lineage: Bacteria; Bacillati; Bacillota; Bacilli; Caryophanales; Staphylococcaceae.
AUAGAUGGAUCCGCGCUGCAUUAGCUAGUUGGUAAGGUAACGGCUUACCAAGGCAACGAUGCAUAGCCGACCUGAGAGGGUGAUCGGCCACACUGGAACUGAGACACGGUCCAGACUCCUACGGGAGGCAGCAGUAGGGAAUCUUCCGCAAUGGGCGAAAGCCUGACGGAGCAACGCCGCGUGAGUGAUGAAGGUCUUCGGAUCGUAAAACUCUGUUAUUAGGGAAGAACAUAUGUGUAAGUAACUGUGCACAUCUUGACGGUACCUAAUCAGAAAGCCACGGCUAACUACGUGCCAGCAGCCGCGGUAAUACGUAGGUGGCAAGCGUUAUCCGGAAUUAUUGGGCGUAAAGCGCGCGUAGGCGGUUUUUUAAGUCUGAUGUGAAAGCCCACGGCUCAACCGUGGAGGGUCAUUGGAAACUGGAAAACUUGAGUGCAGAAGAGGAAAGUGGAAUUCCAUGUGUAGCGGUGAAAUGCGCAGAGAUAUGGAGGAACACCAGUGGCGAAGGCGACUUUCUGGUCUGUAACUGACGCUGAUGUGCGAAAGCGUGGGGAUCAAACAGGAUUAGAUACCCUGGUAGUCCACGCCGUAAACGAUGAGUGCUAAGUGUUAGGGGGUUUCCGCCCCUUAGUGCUGCAGCUAACGCAUUAAGCACUCCGCCUGGGGAGUACGACCGCAAGGUUGAAACUCAAAGGAAUUGACGGGGACCCGCACAAGCGGUGGAGCAUGUGGUUUAAUUCGAAGCAACGCGAAGAACCUUACCAAAUCUUGACAUCCUUUGACAACUCUAGAGAUAGAGCCUUCCCCUUCGGGGGACAAAGUGACAGGUGGUGCAUGGUUGUCGUCAGCUCGUGUCGUGAGAUGUUGGGUUAAGUCCCGCAACGAGCGCAACCCUUAAGCUUAGUUGCCAUCAUUAAGUUGGGCACUCUAAGUUGACUGCCGGUGACAAACCGGAGGAAGGUGGGGAUGACGUCAAAUCAUCAUGCCCCUUAUGAUUUGGGCUACACACGUGCUACAAUGGACAAUACAAAGGGCAGCGAAACCGCGAGGUCAAGCAAAUCCCAUAAAGUUGUUCUCAGUUCGGAUUGUAGUCUGCAACUCGACUACAUGAAGCUGGAAUCGCUAGUAAUCGUAGAUCAGCAUGCUACGGUGAAUACGUUCCCGGGUCUUGUACACACCGCCCGUCACACCACGAGAGUUUGUAACACCCGAAGCCGGUGGAGUAACCUUUUAGGAGCUAGCCGUCGAAGGUGGGACAAAUGAUUGGGGUGAAGUCGUAACAAGGUAGCCGUAUCGGAAGGUGCGGCUGGAUCACCUCCUUU